RNAcentral lists this ribosomal RNA (496 nucleotides) under uncultured bacterium. RNAcentral's name for it is "partial 16S ribosomal RNA". It matches the Rfam family "Bacterial small subunit ribosomal RNA", at positions 29 to 507 of the family's 1533-position model. The record is from RNAcentral.
AUGAACGCUGGCGGCGUGCCUAAUACAUGCAAGUCGAGCGAACAGACGAGGAGCUUGCUCCUCUGACGUUAGCGGCGGACGGGUGAGUAACACGUGGAUAACCUACCUAUAAGACUGGGAUAACUUCGGGAAACCGGAGCUAAUGCCGGAUAAUAUAUUGAACCGCAUGGUUCAAUAGUGAAAGACGGUUUUGCUGUCACUUAUAGAUGGAUCCGCGCCGCAUUAGCUAGUUGGUAAGGUAACGGCUUACCAAGGCAACGAUGCGUAGCCGACCUGAGAGGGUGAUCGGCCACACUGGAACUGAGACACGGUCCAGACUCCUACGGGAGGCAGCAGUAGGGAAUCUUCCGCAAUGGGCGAAAGCUUGACGGAGCAACGCCGCGUGAGUGAUGAAGGUCUUCGGAUCGUAAAACUCUGUUAUUAGGGAAGAACAAAUGUGUAAGUAACUAUGCACGUCUUGACGGUACCUAAUCAGAAAGCCACGGCUAACUACGUG